AAAAUGCGAUACGUAAUGUGAAUUGCAGAUUUCAGUGAAUCAUCAAAUCUUUGAACGCAAUUGGCGCUUAGAGCCAAUUACUCUAAGCACGUUUGUUCGAGUGUCGGUUAAUAUCUUACUAUUAACCACUAUUAUUUGAGUUUCAAUUACAUUUAUAAUGUAAUCGUUACUUUAAAAAGAAUUAUAUUGAAUCAUUAUUCAACAUUCUACUCUAUUGUAGUAAAUACUCAACAGAGUUUGACCAGAAUAAUUUCACUACACCUUUCUUUUACUCGACCUCGAAUCAAACGAGAUUACCGGCUGAACUUAAGC
Molecule: unclassified non-coding RNA, 312 nt
Filed under: plant metagenome
Description: partial contains 5.8S ribosomal RNA, internal transcribed spacer 2, and large subunit ribosomal RNA
Rfam family: 5.8S ribosomal RNA (bases 1-106)
Source: RNAcentral